AACGAACGCUGGCGGCAGGCCUAACACAUGCAAGUCGAGCGAACCCUUCGGGGUUAGCGGCGGACGGGUUAGUAACGCGUGGGAAUAUACCCUUUGGUACGGAAUAGCCUCGGGAAACUGAGAGUAAUACCGUAUGUGCCCUUCGGGGGAAAGAUUUAUCGCCAAAGGAUUAGCCCGCGUUGGAUUAGAUAGUUGGUGGGGUAAUGGCCUACCAAGUCUACGAUCCAUAGCUGGUUUGAGAGGAUGAUCAGCAACACUGGGACUGAGACACGGCCCAGACUCCUACGGGAGGCAGCAGUGGGGAAUCUUAGACAAUGGGCGCAAGCCUGAUCUAGCCAUGCCGCGUGGACGAUGAAGGCCUUAGGGUUGUAAAGUCCUUUCAGAUGGGAAGAUAAUGACGGUACCAUCAGAAGAAGCCCCGGNUAACUCCGUGCCAGCAGCCGGCGGUAAUGUGACUACUG
RNAcentral lists this ribosomal RNA (461 nucleotides) under uncultured bacterium. Its description in RNAcentral is "bacterial SSU rRNA". It matches the Rfam family "Bacterial small subunit ribosomal RNA", at positions 29 to 532 of the family's 1533-position model. The record is from RNAcentral.